RNAcentral lists this ribosomal RNA (77 nucleotides) under Theropithecus gelada (gelada). The record is from RNAcentral. Lineage: Eukaryota; Metazoa; Chordata; Mammalia; Primates; Cercopithecidae.
ACGUGCCUGGUGUCACCUGAUCUCAGAAGCUAAACAGGCUCUGGCUUGAUUCAUACUUGGAUGGAAGAAAACAAGGU